RNAcentral lists this ribosomal RNA (422 nucleotides) under Verrucomicrobiota bacterium. RNAcentral describes it as "Verrucomicrobia bacterium partial 16S ribosomal RNA". It matches the Rfam family "Bacterial small subunit ribosomal RNA", at positions 355 to 776 of the family's 1533-position model. The record is from RNAcentral. Lineage: Bacteria; Pseudomonadati; Verrucomicrobiota.
UGGGGAAUUUUGCACAAUGGGCGCAAGCCUGAUGCAGCGACGCCGCGUGAGGGAUGAAGGCCUUCGGGUUGUAAACCUUUUUCGCUCAUGGUCAAGCCGCAGCUUUGGGUUGUGGUGAGGGUAGUGGGUAAAGAAGCGCCGGCUAACUACGUGCCAGCAGCCGCGGUAAUACGUAGGGCGCGAGCGUUGUCCGGAAUUAUUGGGCGUAAAGGGCUUGUAGGCGGUUGGCCGCGUCUGCCGUGAAAUCCUCUGGCUUAACUGGGGGCGUGCGGUGGGUACGGGUUGACUUGAGUGCGGUAGGGGAGACUGGAAUUCCCGGUGUAACGGUGGAAUGUGUAGAUAUCGGGAAGAACACCAAUGGCGAAGGCAGGUCUCUGGGCUGUUACUGACGCUGAGAAGCGAAAGCGUGGGGAGCGAACAGG